Long non-coding RNA from Pan troglodytes (chimpanzee), 1577 nucleotides. RefSeq lists it as uncharacterized. The transcript has 5 exons. The record is from RefSeq and is a predicted model, not a curated record. Lineage: Eukaryota; Metazoa; Chordata; Mammalia; Primates; Hominidae.
AAACAGCAGGUCCAUAUUUCUGACUGUGCAGGAAUUGGAGGCCCACACCAAGCAGUGUGACAUACUUGAAUGACAAAAUAAUGGAGUGAUCCCAGGGACUCAGGAGUCAUGGCAGAGGAAUUUAUUGCUUAGCAACCCAGACAAAUGUCAAGAGUCUUACCAGAUGCAGAUGAUGCUCUGGGGAAGAGACUGCUCUCACUAGCAGUGCAACAGAAGUUUCAUAACAACGUAACUCCAGCAGGACACCUCCAUAUGAAUGGCUUUCCAUAGCACCACACUGGGCAGAUUGCCAGCAAGUUCUACCAGCUUAGCACCACAGUGACUUCUCUGUCAUCUGGUGAGCCUAUGAUCGCCAAUAAAGGUCUGGAUCUCAGCCUGGGCUCUCUUCCUUGGAUCUAUGCUGAACCUAACUGGAAACUGGGUGGCAAGAGUUGAUACAGUCCACACAGGUCGGCCUCCUGGGCAGAGAUCAGAGUAGGACAGGAUGAAGAACACAUCUGGAGGGUCAAAGAGAAGCUAUGACACAGGUACAGACGGAGUUUCACCAUGUUGGCCAGGCUCCAGGCUGGUCUUGAACUCCUGACUUCCGGUGAUCCACCUGCCUCCACCUCUCAAAGUGCUGGGAUUACAAGCGUGAGCCACCACACCUGGUCGCAUGUUGGUUUUUAUUAAUGACACUAGGUUAAAUUACAAAAUAACUUAGAAAAAAAUGACAUCUUAUGAUUGCUAUGUCUUCAGAACAUUGUUACAAACAUCUAUAUAUGCAAAAAAUUCCACUACUGAGAAUUCAUCCUGAAGAUAUGGCACACAUGUGUGAAAUGCUAUAAGUACGAAACUAUUCACUGUGACAUUGUUUGCUAUAGCAUGCCCAAAACCAACAUAAACAAAGUCAAAAGGCUAAUGACACCAUGAGAAAAAUAUUGACAACUGCUGGUGCAGACAAAGGGUUAAACUCUUUAACAUACAGUGAGAUUUCUAUACUGCCAUGAGAAAUCUCAAUAACCCAAUUUAAAAAAAAAAAGAGUAAAAGACAUGAAGCAACAGCCUCCCUUCACACCAACUUUAUUUAUUAUUCAGGAUUCUUCAGGGAAACAAAAUAGGAUAAAUAUAGAUAUAUAAGAGGAAAUUUAUUAUGGGAAUUGGCUCAUGCAAUUACUGAGGCUGAGAAGUCCCACAAUAUGUGGUUUGAAGUUGGAGAAUCAGGAAAACUGGUCGUGUAAUACAGUCUGAACCUGAAAGCUCAAGAACCAGGGGAGCUGAUGCUGUAACUCUCAGUUUGAUUUCAAAGACCUGAGAACCUGGGGGGCCACUAGUAUAAGUACCGGAGUCUAAAGGCCCAAGCACAUAAAGUUCUGAUGCCUGAGCGCAGGAGAAGAUGGAUGUUCUAGCUCCAGAAGAGAGAGAAAAUAUACUCAUCCUCUGUCUUUUUCUUCUGUUUGGGCCUUCAGUGAAGCAAAUGAUGCCCAUCUUCACUGAUGAAGACAGACUUUUACUCAGUCUACUGGUUCAAAUACUAAUCUCUUUAAGAAACACCCUUACAGAGACACUCAAAUAAAAUGUUUUACCAGCUUUCUGUA